GAUGAACGCUGGCGGCGUGCCUAAUACAUGCCAGUCGAGCGAACGGACGAGAAGCUUGCUUUUCUGAUGUUAGCGGCGGACGGGUGAGUAACACGUGGAUAACCUACCUAUAAGACUGGGAUAACUUCGGGAAACCGGAGCUCAUACCGGAUAAUAUUUUGAACCGCAUGGUUCAAAAGUGAAAGACGGUCUUGCUGUCACUUAUAGAUGGAUCCGCGCUGCAUUAGCUAGUUGGUAAGGUAACGGCUUACCAAGGCAACGAUGCAUAGCCGACCUGAGAGGGUGAUCGGCCACACUGGAACUGAGACACGGUCCAGACUCCUACGGGAGGCAGCAGUAGGGAAUCUUCCGCAAUGGGCGAAAGCCUGACGGAGCAACGCCGCGUGAGUGAUGAAGGUCUUCGGAUCGUAAAACUCUGUUAUUAGGGAAGAACAUAUGUGUAAGUAACUGUGCACAUCUUGACGGUACCUAAUCAGAAAGCCACGGCUAACUACGUG
RNAcentral lists this ribosomal RNA (497 nucleotides) under uncultured bacterium. RNAcentral's name for it is "partial 16S ribosomal RNA". It matches the Rfam family "Bacterial small subunit ribosomal RNA", at positions 28 to 507 of the family's 1533-position model. The record is from RNAcentral.